RNAcentral lists this ribosomal RNA (464 nucleotides) under Vreelandella stevensii. RNAcentral describes it as "partial 16S ribosomal RNA". It matches the Rfam family "Bacterial small subunit ribosomal RNA", at positions 338 to 795 of the family's 1533-position model. Lineage: Bacteria; Pseudomonadati; Pseudomonadota; Gammaproteobacteria; Oceanospirillales; Halomonadaceae. The record is from RNAcentral.
CCUACGGGAGGCAGCAGUGGGGAAUAUUGGACAAUGGGCGAAAGCCUGAUCCAGCCAUGCCGCGUGUGUGAAGAAGGCCUUCGGGUUGUAAAGCACUUUCAGUGUGGAAGAAAGCCUUGGGGCUAAUACCCUCGAGGAAGGACAUCACCCACAGAAGAAGCACCGGCUAACUCCGUGCCAGCAGCCGCGGUAAUACGGAGGGUGCGAGCGUUAAUCGGAAUUACUGGGCGUAAAGCGCGCGUAGCGGUCUGAUAAGCCGGUUGUGAAAGCCCCGGGCUCAACCUGGGAACGGCAUCCGGAACUGUCAGGCUAGAGUGCAGGAGAGGAAGGUAGAAUUCCCGGUGUAGCGGUGAAAUGCGUAGAGAUCGGGAGGAAUACCAGUGGCGAAGGCGGCCUUCUGGACUGACACUGACGCUGAGGUGCGAAAGCGUGGGUAGCAAACAGGAUUAGAUACCCUAGUAGUC